This 1201-nucleotide ribosomal RNA is filed under the name Juniperus phoenicea (Phoenician juniper). RNAcentral's name for it is "eukaryotic LSU rRNA". The stretch from base 763 to 916 matches the Rfam family "5.8S ribosomal RNA". Lineage: Eukaryota; Viridiplantae; Streptophyta; Pinopsida; Cupressales; Cupressaceae. The record is from RNAcentral.
UUAGGGGGGGAAGGGGGGGGAGAGAGGUGACCUGCGGUAGGAUCAUUGUCGGUUCGAGACCCUGAAUCGUGUAGGGGACGGAGCUCGCCUCCCUCCCCGCCCCCAAAAUCUCGGCGACGUGCGGACACUUGGCCUUGCAGCGAUGUGCUGGAGGGCCAAGCUAAAGGGUCCCGCGCCGUCGCGGUCGAGGGUCAAACGAAUGCCGCGAUCGAAAGCGUGGAUUCCCCGCGGUGCGAAGAGAGUCGGACGCAAAAUCUGGAUCACAACUGGUGCCUUCGAAACGACGUCUACGUCGGAGCGAGCGGUCCCUGCUCGGUUGUAGUUCGGAGGAGGUCCGGGCCUCAUUCCCCGCUGAGAUUUCAUGGCUCGGUCGUGUGCGCGGCGCUGUGCCAGGGAUCCGUCGAUUCGUCGGCGGCAAGUCGGGACUGCCGCAACCCCCCGUUGCGUUUUGCUCAGGUGCUAACUCGCCCCUGGGAGCGCUCUGUGUUCAGGAUGGGUGCACUCGCAUGUUCUGCGUGGCAGGGGCCCCCGUCCGACGACACGACUCUCCCUUGCGGCGACUCCCACCUUUGCGAGGUGAUGGGGCGGGGACACACCACAGCGUUCUUCGUCGCACCCCUCGGGUGCUCGGAGGGCGGGAUGUGUCAACACCCAACACACGGGUGCGCAUCGCGCACCUUAGAAAUCCAAAAGAAUGAAGUGCGAUCCAGCCGCCUUGUGCGCUUGGGUCGGACGAAAGAGAGAGAAACAUAACGAAAUCACGACUCUCGGCAACGGAUAUCUCGGCUCUCGCCACGAUGAAGAAUGUAGCGAAAUGCGAUACUUAGUGUGAAUUGCAGAAUCCCGUGAAUCAUCAAGUCUUUGAACGCAAGUUGCGCCCGAGGCCUCGGCCAAGGGCACGUCUGCUUGGGCGUCGCACUCCAAAAUUGCCCUCCCCCGCGAGGAGCGUAGAUGGCCGUCCGUGUCCGCAAGUGGGGCGGUCGGCUGAAAUGAGCACGAGGUCCGUCGAUCCGUCGCGACGAGCGGUGGUUCCCAAAGGCCGGCGUUGGUUUGCGCUGAUCGAGCGAUGCCUCGUGUGGAACUUUAUCUGUGGUGCCCGGGCCCGCCAAAACGCGGGCAUGGUGGACCUCUUUACCGCGUCCCAAGUCAGGCGUGAUACCCGCUGAUUUACUAUUAUUAUGGGGGGAGAAAGGAGGAAGAA